This is a small nucleolar RNA of Larimichthys crocea (large yellow croaker), 136 nucleotides long. The record is from Ensembl. Lineage: Eukaryota; Metazoa; Chordata; Actinopteri; Sciaenidae.
AAUGCCCCUUGAGGCGUUGCAGCCCAACUCAGUGUUGCAGCUGUGUCAUAAGGUGGCAGAGAGAGAGACUGGUGGUAGUCUGCACUGAGACUCUACGACACGCCGAGGACUCGGAGUGAUUCUCACCACCGACACU